UCUGGAUACAUGCUGUAGGUAGAUUGUCUCCUGCCCUGCCUCUGGGAUGCACCUGGGGCCUCUGCUGUAGGUGGUUUGUCUCUAACCUGAUUUCCUGCAUGGAUUCUGGACAUCUGGCGAAAAUAAAUGCUGCCAUUUUCCAGGACUGCUAGUGUGAAGCAAGAAACAAGUCAAGAAAGUCCAUGCUGAAAGGCUACUUUGUAUGGGAAGCCUGGGGUUUGUCCCCCUUACUGCCUUGUCAGCACAGCAUCCAAGCAAAGCCCUGAAGUUGUUGGUCAGCAA
Molecule: long non-coding RNA, 282 nt
Organism: Gymnogyps californianus (California condor)
Lineage: Eukaryota; Metazoa; Chordata; Aves; Accipitriformes; Cathartidae
Exons: 3
Source: RefSeq, a predicted model, not a curated record